GAGGGUGAGAGCCCCGUCCAACUCACACAGGACAUACCCGCACGAGGGCGUUUCAGAUGAGUCGGGUAGCUUGGGAAUGCUGCUCUAAUCGGUGGUAAAUCUCAUCGAAGGCUAAAUAGCGGCUGGAGACCGAUAGCGAACAAGUACCGUGAGGGAAAGAUGACAAGCACUUUGAAAAGAGGGUGAAAAGAGCCUGAAACCGUCACGGGGGAAGCGGAUUGCGUUGGAUUGAUGGGCGCUUGUGUGUUCAGCCUUCGGGUGCAUUGGCACAAGUGCUUAUCCGCUGUGAGUUUUCGGGGGUCGAUUUUGGACCCCUGGGGACUGAGGGCUCCCUUUUUUAGGUGAGGACAGCGGAGUGACGACGCGAUACGACCCGUCUUGAAACACGGACCAAGGAGUCUAGCGCGGGUGCGAGUCGGAGGGUGCAAGCCCGUGGGCGAAGUGAAAGCGAGUUUUAAAAACGAGCAGUUUGGGGCGGCAUAAGAUCGUUGAUCUUAAGACCGACCCGGAGCAGUUGCGCUGGGACCCGAAAGAUGGUGAACUAUGCCGGAGUAGGGCAAAGCCAGAGGAAACUCUGGUGGAGGCUCGUAGCGGUGCUGACGUGCAAAUCGCUCGUCGAACUUGGGUAUAGGGGCGAAAGACUAAUCGAACCAUCUAGUAGCUGGUUCCCUCCGAAGUUUCUCUCAGGAUAGCGGGCCGACAAGUUGUUUUGUGCGGUAAAGCGAAUGAUUAGCGCAUUCGGGGGCGUUUAGCCUUUGGGCGAUUCUCAAACUUUCAAUGCGCAAGGGUGCCGCUGCUUAAUUGAGCGGUACCGGUAAAAACGUCGGCCCUGUGGGCCACUUUUGGUAAGCA
This 852-nucleotide ribosomal RNA is filed under the name Chondracanthus acicularis. RNAcentral describes it as "eukaryotic LSU rRNA". It matches the Rfam family "Eukaryotic large subunit ribosomal RNA", at positions 208 to 1146 of the family's 3401-position model. The record is from RNAcentral. Lineage: Eukaryota; Rhodophyta; Florideophyceae; Gigartinales; Gigartinaceae.